This 253-nucleotide ribosomal RNA is filed under the name uncultured bacterium. RNAcentral describes it as "partial 16S ribosomal RNA". It matches the Rfam family "Bacterial small subunit ribosomal RNA", at positions 524 to 776 of the family's 1533-position model. The record is from RNAcentral.
GACGUAGGGGGCCAGCGUUGUUCGGAAUUACUGGGUGUAAAGGGUUCGUAGGCGGUGCGGCAAGUCGGGUGUGAAAUCUCUGGGCUUAACCCAGAGGCUGCUUCCGAAACUGCUGUGCUUGAGUGUGGGAGAGGCGCGUGGAAUUGCAGGUGUAGCGGUGAAAUGCGUAGAUAUCUGCAGGAACACCCGUGGCGAAAGCGGCGCGCUGGACCACUACUGACGCUGAGGAACGAAAGCUAGGGGAGCAAACAGG